Molecule: long non-coding RNA, 3509 nt
Filed under: Malus domestica (apple)
Lineage: Eukaryota; Viridiplantae; Streptophyta; Magnoliopsida; Rosales; Rosaceae
Description: long non-coding RNA (MDOM_LNC006770)
Source: RNAcentral
GCUGCCGGGCUGUCACAAAUUGACAGGCCCCCUGCUCGGGCCUUCUCCACGAGCUCGGGCCCUUCAAGGCUGGACGUGAUUGACAGGCCCUCGGGCCCUUUGUUCUCCACUGUCCCCCGGCCUAUUGACAAGGCUGGAACUGCUCUAAAUUGUGAUUUUUCGUUUAUAACCGUCGAAAACUUUUAUUCCGUUACGUAAUCUCUGAAUGUUUAUUUUUUAUGAUUUUUUACGUAUGCAAUCUCGAAAUGUGUACAAAUAAGUUUGAUGGUUGGAUCGUUAAAAAAAGUUUCGUAGAAUGCAUAUUGCGUCAAAAUAGUAGAUUAAACAAACACUUAAAGUUAAUAUUAUACUUCAAUUAAGUAUAAAAAAAGUUUUUGUGGUAUCCACUAGUGUAAAUACUUUAAAUUAAAGAUCAAAUUUAUUCAUUAGAUUCUUAUAGGGUCAAGGAGUGUAUCUGUUAAAAAUCAGCAAAAUCAGAGCUCAAAUAACCGUUAAAUUGUGAUUUUUCGUUUAUAACCGUCGAAAACUUUUGUUCCGUUAUGUAAUCUCUGAAUGUUUGUUUUUUAUGAUUUUUUACGUAUGCGAUCUCGGAAUGUGUAUAAUAAGUUUGACGGUUGGAUCGUUGAAAAAAGUUUUGUAGAAUGCAAAUUGCGUCAAAACAGUAGAUUAAACAAACACUUAGAGUUAAUAUUAUACUUCUAUUAAGUACAAAAUAAGUUUUUGUGGUAUCCACUAGUGUAAAUACUUUAAAUUAAAGAUCAAAUUUAUUUAUUACAUUCUUAUAGGGUCGAGGAGUGUAUCUGUAAAAAAUCAUCAAAAUCGGAGCUAAAAUAACCGUUAAAUUGUGAUUUUUCGUUUAUAACCGUCGAAAACUUUUGUACCAUUACGUAAUCUCUGAAUGUUUAUUUUUUAUGAUUGUUUACGUAUGUGAUCUCGGAAUGUGUACAAAUAAGUUUGACGGUUUGAUCUUUGAAAAAAGUUUCGUAGAAUGCAUAUUGCAUCAAAACGGUAUAUUAAACAAACACUUAGAGUUAAUAUUAUACUUCUAUCAAGUAUAAAAUAAGUUUUUGUGGUAUCCACUAGUGUAAAUACUUUAAAUUAAAGAUCAAAUUUAUUCAUUACAUUCUUAUAGGGUCGAGGAGUGUAUAUGUAAAAAAUCAUCAAAAUCGGAGCUCAAAUAACCAUUAAAUUGUGAUUUUUCGUUUAUAACCGUCGAAAACUUUUGUUCCGUUACGUAAUCUCUGAAUGUUUUUUUUUUAUGAUUUUUUACGUAUUCGAUCUCGGAAUGUGUACAAAUAAUCUUGAUGGUUGGAUCGUUGAAAAAAGUUUUGUAGAAUGCAUAUUGCGUCAAAACAGUAGAUUAAACAAACACUUAGAGUUAAUUUAUACUUCUAUUAAGUAUAAAAUAAGUUUUUGUGGUAUCCACUAGUGUAAAUACUUUAAAUUAAAUAUCAAAUUUAUUCAUUACAUUCUUAUAGGUCGAGGAGUCUAUCUGUAAAAAAAUCAUCAAAAUCGGAGAUAAAAUAGCCGUUAAAUUAUGAUUUUUCGUUUAUAACCGUCGAAAACUUUUGUUCCAUUACGUAAUCUCUGAAUGUUUGUUUUUUACGAUUUUUUACGUAUGCGAUCUCGGAAUGUGUACAAAUAAGUUUGACGGUUGGAUUGUUGAAAAAAGUUUCAUAGAAUGCAUAUUGCGUCAAAACGGUAGAUUAAACAAACACUUAGAGUUAAUAUUAUACUUCUAUUAAGUAUAAAAUAAGUUUUUGUGGUAUCGACUAGUGUAAAUACUUUAAAUUAAAGAUCAAAUUUAUUCAUUACAUUCUUAUAGGGUCGAGGAGUGUAUUUGUAAAAAAUCAUCCAAAUCGAAGCUAAAAUAACCGUUAAAUUGUGAUUUUUCGUUUAUAACCGUCGAUAACUUUUGUUACUUUACGUAAUCUCUAAAUGUUUGUUUUUUACGAUGUUUUUUUGCGUAUGCAAUCUUGGAAUGUGUACAAAUAAGUUUGACGGUUGGAUCGUUGAAAAAAGUUUUUGGACAGCCAGCAAUAGAUAAUUUUGUAGUAGUGAAACCUUAAAUUUAUUUAACCGUCAAUUGUCAUUUACGCUUUAUUCUUUUUACUGAAUUUCAUUUUUAAAACUUUAUUUUUUGAAAACAUGAUCAUCUGGCGGAUGUAAGACGAUGAUAUCACGUUUCGAUAUUUACGGUUAAUUGAAAUAUGAGUCAAUAUCAUAUAAUUUGUAGAAACUUUAUAAACAUCAAGCAAUAUUUUCACUAACCGUAAAACUCUAAAUAUAAUAUCAACGAUCCAAACCUUUCAUCUACCUGCACCCUCUAAUAGAUCAUGUUUUCAAAAAAGAAAAUCUAAAAAAACAAAAUUUGAUGAGAACAAUGAAACAUAAAUGUAAACAACAAUCAACGGUUAAAUUUUGAUCUAUGAUUUAUAUGAUUAUAGUGGCGAAUUUCGAAGUUAAGCUCUUCAUGAAAGUUAUAAAGCUUGUCAUUACGAGUGUUUAUAUAUUUUUUUCUAUAUUUUUUUACAAUUCUACAUUAAUUAAAAAACUAUUAAAGACUUUAAGUAAGCGAAAAUAUACUUAAAACAAAAUUGCGUUUUUAUGUUUUGUGACACACCUUGAUCCGGAAUGUCUACUAGGACUCCGAAUCGAGCUAUGCUGGCCACUACUUGGAAGGUGACGAAUCCAUAAAGUGAUGAUAUGGAAAGAUGCGAAUAAAUUUAAACCUAAAGGUGCCUAAAUAACAGAGUGCAUUGUGCGUGGGUAUGAACCCAAAUCACACGUGAUGUCAGAGCAUAGUCAAGUACAGCAAUGUAGGUAGAAACCAUACCCACAAAAAUAGCCACCUUAACAGGGACAUGCCACGAAUCCUCGUCGAUAAGGAACUUUGCUACUAGAACCUGAAGGGGCGCAAAACAGAAAACAUGAGUGGGCGAAAAUAAAGCUUUUCAAGAAUAUCUCAUUUAUCAACAUUCAUAACCCCUCGCUGAAAAACCUGUAUACUUUCCCAGAAAAUAAUUUAUAUAACCAUAUAUAUAAGCAAAUAUCUCAAAUCACAAUCCUUUAAGAAAAUAUGCCAUGCAAUGCAUUGAAACAUAAUAUGGAUGCAUCAAUAUAAAUCAGGUGAAAUGAUAAAUCAACUGGAGACCCUGCAGCUGGUCCUGUACGGUUAAUUUUAUAGUUCAAUGUCCAAUCCAACCGGAGUCACCAACUGUGACCUGUAUGGCACUACUCUGCACAUAAAUCGGAACUACCUGAAGUAGUCUGUACGAUAAGAAUGGUGUAAGAAUACGCUCUAGUGCUUCUCUCAUCAACAGCUGUAUAAUAAUCUAAAGUCACCUACAGUCGGAACCACCUCUCAUGGUCUGUACGACAUGUCGGAACCCUCUAUUGGUCUGUACGACAUGCACGUACUUGGAUCCAAGGUGAGCGUAUGGUGUGGGGUGAAUAAUAUAAGCACUACCACCAGGGGUGCAGGUUAUGAGCUCUCAACACAAAUCACA